GUCAUGUCGAAACCAGGAUUCUUAUAGUCUCCUUAACUAAAAGCUGGGCCUGCAGUGGAGUCUCAUUCUCCUCAGUCAUUAGAAGGCCUCUCUUUCAGGGUCUGUGACUAUAGACCUAAGCAGUACUGGCAUUUCUAUUACUUGCGUUCCACAUCCUUGUCCUGUGAAUCAACAUUGGCAUCUGUACAGGAAAUAUUUGCUGUGGUCUGAAGAUUAAAACAGAAAGGAGUGGAAGCCAGUCCAGGAGAUCCAGAUACAAAUAUCAGAAGAGGAAGUUUGCAGGAAAAGCCUGAGUGACUUUGAAAAUUAAGACAAGAGGAAGAUCCCAGUGUAAACACAAAGAUCAACAAAGCCUGAUCGAAUAAGCCACUGCAUGUGUCUUCUUACAAGGAACCACACACCCAUUUGCUUGUUUAAAUUGAUCAGCAUAUUCUCAUCUCAGAGAAGGAGAGAUGGUAUAUCAAAGCCCCCCGUGCAGACUGUGGGUUGGGAGGAGGAAGUAUUCUACAUUUGAGUGGCUAUCUUAAAAGAGAGCAUCUCGUUUUUGCAAGAAAAACCAAUUUCACUGUCA
This is a long non-coding RNA of Mauremys reevesii (Reeves's turtle), 571 nucleotides long. RefSeq lists it as uncharacterized. The transcript is spliced from 3 exons. The record is from RefSeq and is a predicted model, not a curated record. NCBI's taxonomy places the organism in Eukaryota, Metazoa, Chordata, Testudines, Geoemydidae.